AACAGCUAGUAGUUUAAAUUAAAAUAUUAGUUUUGGAGACUAAAGAUAUAAGUUAAUUUCUUGCU
This 65-nucleotide transfer RNA is filed under the name Trioza frangulae. RNAcentral describes it as "tRNA-Pro". Lineage: Eukaryota; Metazoa; Arthropoda; Insecta; Hemiptera; Triozidae. The record is from RNAcentral.